AGAGUUUGAUUAUGGCUCAGGAUGAACGCUAGCUACAGGCUUAACACAUGCAAGUCGAGGGGUAGCAGGGUAGCAAUACCGCUGACGACCGGCGCACGGGUGAGUAACACGUAUCCAACCUUCCCAUAACUCAGGGAUAGCCUUUCGAAAGAAAGAUUAAUACCUGAUAGUACUUUUUCAAGGCAUCUUGAGAAAGUUAAAGAUUUAUGGUUAUGGAUGGGGAUGCGUUCCAUUAGAUAGUUGGUGAGGUAACGGCUCACCAAGUCUUCGAUGGAUAGGGGUUCUGAGAGGAAGGUCCCCCACAUUGGUACUGAGACACGGACCAAACUCCUACGGGAGGCAGCAGUGAGGAAUAUUGGUCAAUGGGCGAGAGCCUGAACCAGCCAAGUAGCGUGAAGGAUGAAAGGUCCUAUGGAUUGUAAACUUCUUUUAUAGUAGAAUAAAGUGAUCCACGUGUGGAUUUUUGUAUGUAUACUAUGAAUAAGGAUCGGCUAACUCCGUGCCAGCAGCUGC
This 513-nucleotide ribosomal RNA is filed under the name uncultured bacterium. RNAcentral describes it as "bacterial SSU rRNA". It matches the Rfam family "Bacterial small subunit ribosomal RNA", at positions 8 to 518 of the family's 1533-position model. The record is from RNAcentral.